GAUGAAGAACGUAGCGAAAUGCGAUAAGUAAUGUGAAUUGCAGAAUUCAGUGAAUCAUCGAAUCUUUGAACGCACAUUGCGCCCGCCAGUAUUCUGGCGGGCAUGCCUGUCCGAGCGUCAUUUCAACCCUCGAACCCCUCCGGGGGGUCGGCGUUGGGGAUCGGCCCUGCCUCUUGGCGGUGGCCGUCUCCGAAAUACAGUGGCGGUCUCGCCGCAGCCUCUCCUGCGCAGUAGUUUGCACACUCGCAUCGGGAGCGCGGCGCGUCCACAGCCGUUAAACACCCAACUUCUGAAAUGUUGACCUCGGAUCAGGUAGGAAUACCCGCUGAACUUAAGCAUAUCCAUAAGCGGAGGA
Molecule: unclassified non-coding RNA, 355 nt
Filed under: soil metagenome
Description: partial contains 5.8S ribosomal RNA, internal transcribed spacer 2, and large subunit ribosomal RNA
Rfam family: 5.8S ribosomal RNA (bases 1-120)
Source: RNAcentral